CAGAGACUGCAAGCGUUACUCGGAAUCACUGGGCGUAAAGGGAGCGCAGGCGGAAUCGUGUGUCGGAUGUGAAACCCGGGGGCUCAACUCCCGGACUGCGUCUGAAACUGCGAUUCUAGGGACUCGGAGGGGCCGGUGGAAUUCCUGGUGGAGCAGUGAAAUGCGUAGAUAUCAGGAGGAACACCAACGGCGAAGGCAGCCGGCUGGACGAGAUCCGACGCUCAGGCUCGAAAGUAUGGGGAGCAAAAAGGAUUAGAUACCCUUGUAGUCCAUACUGUAAACGAUGUCGACUAGGUCUUGGGGCAUUCGAACGCCCCAGGGCUCAAGCUAACGCAAUAAGUCGACCGCCUGAGGACUACGGCCGCAAGGCUA
Molecule: ribosomal RNA, 372 nt
Filed under: uncultured organism
Description: bacterial SSU rRNA
Rfam family: Bacterial small subunit ribosomal RNA
Source: RNAcentral